UUGUUCUUUAAAUGGGGACUUGUAUCAACGGCACCACGAGGGUUAGACUGUCUCCUUUUUCAAAUCAGUGAAAUUAAUCUCCCCGUGAAGAAGCGGGGAUACUCAUAUAAGACGAGAAGACCCCAUGGAGCUUCAAACCCAACUACACCCCUAGCUCUUAUAGCCCCACAACCCCCCCCCCC
Molecule: ribosomal RNA, 182 nt
Filed under: Mantidactylus melanopleura
Lineage: Eukaryota; Metazoa; Chordata; Amphibia; Anura; Mantellidae
Description: partial 16S ribosomal RNA
Source: RNAcentral